AAUGAACGUUGGCGGCGUGGAUUAGGCAUGCGAGUCGUACGAGAACCCGCAAGGGGGAAAGUGGCGAACGGGGUAGUAAUGCGUAGGUGACGUGCCCUGCGGUCGGGGAUAGCUUAGGGAAACUUAAGGUAAUACCCGAUGACACCAUGAGGUUUGAAUACCAUAUGGUCAAAGGUGUGAUUCCACCACAGGAGCGGCUUGCGUGGUAUUAGCUAGUUGGUGAGGUAACGGCUCACCAAGGCAACGAUGCCUAGGGGAUGUUAGCGCAUGAUCCCCACCACUGGGACUGAGAUACUGCCCAGACACCUACGGGUGGCUGCAGUCGAGAAUCUUCGGCAAUGGGGGAAACCCUGACCGAGCGACGCCGCGUGUGGGAUGAAGGCCCUUGGGUUGUAAACCACUGUCAGAGGGGAUGAAGUGCUAGAGAGCUAUCUCUCUAGUUUGACAUAGCCUCAGAGGAAGCACGGGCUAAGUUCGUGCCAGCAGCCGCGGUAAUACG
This 499-nucleotide ribosomal RNA is filed under the name uncultured bacterium. RNAcentral describes it as "bacterial SSU rRNA". It matches the Rfam family "Bacterial small subunit ribosomal RNA", at positions 29 to 527 of the family's 1533-position model. The record is from RNAcentral.